RNAcentral lists this ribosomal RNA (151 nucleotides) under Klebsiella pneumoniae subsp. pneumoniae KPNIH17. RNAcentral describes it as "partial 16S ribosomal RNA". It matches the Rfam family "Bacterial small subunit ribosomal RNA", at positions 1 to 143 of the family's 1533-position model. Lineage: Bacteria; Pseudomonadati; Pseudomonadota; Gammaproteobacteria; Enterobacterales; Enterobacteriaceae. The record is from RNAcentral.
ACUUAAAUUGAAGAGUUUGAUCAUGGCUCAGAUUGAACGCUGGCGGCAGGCCUAACACAUGCAAGUCGAGCGGUAGCACAGAGAGCUUGCUCUCGGGUGACGAGCGGCGGACGGGUGAGUAAUGUCUGGGAAACUGCCUGAUGGAGGGGAU